RNAcentral lists this long non-coding RNA (405 nucleotides) under Parus major (Great Tit). RNAcentral's name for it is "lncRNA (ENSPMJG00000010781.1)". The record is from RNAcentral. Lineage: Eukaryota; Metazoa; Chordata; Aves; Passeriformes; Paridae.
UCCAAUUCUGUGGGAAUAAUAUCAGUUUGGUGUUUAAGACCAGUCCUUCCACCUUAUUUCACACUGUAACGAUCUAUAAAGUAUUUGGAAACUGAUUAUUGAGUUGUAAUGUCUUCUGAAGGGUAUCUUCACAAAUUCCACCCCAGAAGUAAAGAAUGUAUAAAUGCAGUGACCACUAUAUCUGCUUCAAAACAGCUCCCCAUGGACAGAUCCAGGGAGCUGCUCAUGACAAAGAGCAAUUUGAUGUCCCUACACAUUAUGCUGGCAUGUAAACCCACCAAGGAUGACCAGAAGAAACGGGACCCGACUGUCUUCAUAAAUUUCCUCAAGAGCCUGAGCUAGGGAAAAAAGCCAAACCAACUAAAGAAAGUAACAAAACUGCAGCAGCAAAGGUUUUCUUUGGAU